UCCCUGGUGGCUCAGUUGGUAAAGAAUCUGCCAGCAAUGCAGAAGACCCAGGUUCAAUCCCUGGGUUGGGAA
Molecule: transfer RNA, 72 nt
Filed under: Bos taurus (domestic cattle)
Lineage: Eukaryota; Metazoa; Chordata; Mammalia; Artiodactyla; Bovidae
Also listed under: 3 other names
Rfam family: tRNA
About the family: Transfer RNA (tRNA) molecules are approximately 80 nucleotides in length.
Source: Rfam by way of RNAcentral